Molecule: long non-coding RNA, 1147 nt
Filed under: Chloebia gouldiae (Gouldian finch)
Lineage: Eukaryota; Metazoa; Chordata; Aves; Passeriformes; Passeridae
Description: Erythrura gouldiae (Gouldian finch) lncRNA (ENSEGOG00005016823.1)
Source: RNAcentral
GUCGGUAGGGUCGUGUUUCCCUCGCCGGUACCGGCAUCCUCCAGCCCCGGUACCGGGCAGCCCUCAGCCCCGGUACCGACAUCUCCCAGCCCCGGUACCGCCAUCCCCCAGUCCUGGUACCGGCAAUCUCCAGCCCCGGUACCGGCAAUCCCCAGCUCCGGUACCGCCAUCCCCCAGUCCCGGUACCGGUACAUCUCCGGUACAUCCCCCAUCCCCAGUACCGGCAAUCCCCAGCCCCGGACCCCGCGUCCUCCGAGGCUCCGGGGAUGGAGGGUGCCGGUAUCCGCAGCUUCCAGCCCCGCUCUCCGAAUCUCUCAGCCCCGGCUCCCGAAUUCUCAAUUCCCGGUACCCGAAUCCUCCAUUCCCCGGUCCUGAAUCCUCCAUCCUCGACUCCUCCAUCCCCGGUUUUCCGCAUCCUCCAGCCCCGGUUCCCGAAUUCUCAGUUCCCGGCUCCCGAAUUCUCAAUUCCCGGUUCCCGAAUCCUCCAUCCCCGCCGCUCCCCGAAUCCUCCAGCCCCGUUUCCCGAAUUUUCAAUUCCCGGUUCCCGAAUCCUCCAUCCUCGGUUCCCGCAUCCUCCAGCCCCGCUCCCCGCAUCCCCCUGCGUCUGUCCCCGCCGCUCUCAUCCUCCAUGCCCGGUUCCUCUAUCCCCGGUUCCCGCAUCCUCCAUCUCCGGUUCCUUCAUUCCCGAUUCCCGCUCUCUGCAUCCUCCAUGCCCGGUUCCCGCAACCUCCAUGCCCGGUUCCCGCAUCCCCAUUCCCCAAUUCCCGAGUCCCCUCUCCCCGUGUCCCCUCUCCGGGACCCCCGCACGCACCGGCGGCGCUGCGGGCUCGGCAGGGCCGGGCUGUCCCCGUGCUCGGGGCGGGCGGAGCCUCCCCCGGUGCCCCCAUCCCCGCUCCCGCUCCCCCGGGACGCACCGGGGGCUGCCGCCCGCCCGGGCCCCCCCGCGCCCCUCUGGCGGAGCCCCCCGGACGCACCGGCGGCGCUGCGGGCUCAGGGCCGGGCUCUCGCCGGGCGCCGGGCGGGCGGAGCGGGCCCCGGGCAGGGCCAUGAGCGGCGGAGGGCCCGGCCCGGCCCCGCUCCGGCCGCAGCCUCGCCGCGCUCCGCCCGGCCCCGCGCCGGCGCUGCUGUGUCACCGGAGGGGCCGGGC